RNAcentral lists this long non-coding RNA (770 nucleotides) under Malus domestica (apple). Its description in RNAcentral is "long non-coding RNA (MDOM_LNC016159)". The record is from RNAcentral. Lineage: Eukaryota; Viridiplantae; Streptophyta; Magnoliopsida; Rosales; Rosaceae.
AAAACAGUUUCACCCAAAAAGCUUCACCUAAAAAAGCUUCACAAAAAAAAAAAACUUCACCUCCAAAAAGCUUCACCCAAACAGCUUCACCUAAAAAAGCUUCACCCACAAAGCUUCACCUAAAAAGCUUCACCUAAAAAAGCUUCACCCAAAAAAAAAAACUUCACCUCCAAAAAGCUUCACCCAAACAGCUUCACCUAAAAAAGCUUCACCAAAAAAAAAACUUCACCUCCAAAAAGCUUCACCCAAACAGCUUCACCUAAAAAAGCUUCACCCAAAAAGCUUCACCUACACAGCUUCACCUAAAAAAGCUUCACCUAGAAAGCUCCCUCUACAUACUUUCACCUACAAAGCUUCACCAUCAAAGCUUCACCUCGAAAGCUUCAUCUACAAAGCUUCAUCUACAAAGCUUCACCCAAAAAGCUUCACCUAAAAAAGCUUCACCCAAAAAAAAACUUCACCUCCAAAAAGUUUCACCUAAACAGCUUCAUCCAAAAAGCUUCACCUAAAAAGCUUCACCCACACAGCUUCACCCAAAAAAACUUCACCCGAAAAGCUUCACUUAAAAAAGCUUCACCUAAAAAAGCUUCACCUACAAAGCUUCACCUAAAAAAGCUUCACCUACAAAGUUUCACCUAAAAAAGCUUCACCUACAAAGCUUCAACACAAAACCUUGCUCCAAAUAAACAAAUUUUGUUCACAAAACCCAAGAUGCCCUUGAACUUGUACAAAAACACAGGUCAACACAAACAUUUGUUUUGUUCUACACC